RNAcentral lists this ribosomal RNA (253 nucleotides) under uncultured bacterium. Its description in RNAcentral is "partial 16S ribosomal RNA". It matches the Rfam family "Bacterial small subunit ribosomal RNA", at positions 524 to 776 of the family's 1533-position model. The record is from RNAcentral.
UACAGAGGUCUCAAGCGUUGUUCGGAUUCAUUGGGCGUAAAGGGUGCGUAGGUGGCGGGGUAAGUCAGGUGUGAAAUCUCCGGGCUUAACCCGGAAAGGUCAACUGAUACUGUGCGACUAGAGUGCGGAAGGGGCAACUGGAAUUCUCGGUGUAGCGGUGAAAUGCGUAGAUAUCGAGAGGAACACCUGCGGCGAAGGCGGGUUGCUGGGCCGACACUGACGCUGAUGCGCGAAAGCGUGGGGAGCGAACAGG